Molecule: ribosomal RNA, 400 nt
Filed under: uncultured Actinomycetes bacterium
Lineage: Bacteria; Bacillati; Actinomycetota; Actinomycetes
Description: bacterial SSU rRNA
Rfam family: Bacterial small subunit ribosomal RNA
Source: RNAcentral
CUGGGUUUGACAUAUGCCGGAAAGCCGUAGAGAUACGGCCCCUUUUAGUCGGUAUACAGGUGGUGCAUGGCUGUCGUCAGCUCGUGUCGUGAGAUGUUGGGUUAAGUCCCGCAACGAGCGCAACCCUCGUUCUAUGUUGCCAGCAAGCCCGCAAGGGUGUUGGGGACUCAUAGGAGACUGCCGGGGUCAACUCGGAGGAAGGUGGGGGAAUGACGUCAAGUCAUCAUGCCCCUUAUGUCCAGGGCUUCACGCAUGCUACAAUGGCCGGUACAAAGGGCUGCGAUGCUGUAAGGCGGAGCGAAUCCCAAAAAGCCGGUCUCAGUUCCGGAUUUGGGGGUCUGCAACUCGACCCCAUGAAGUCGGAGUCGCUAGUAAUCGCAGAUCAGCAACGCUGCGGUGA